AUUGAACGCUGGCGGCAGGCCUAACACAUGCAAGUCGAACGGUAACAGGAAGCAGCUUGCUGCUUCGCUGACGAGUGGCGGACGGGUGAGUAAUGUCUGGGAAACUGCCUGAUGGAGGGGGAUAACUACUGGAAACGGUAGCUAAUACCGCAUAACGUCGCAAGACCAAAGAGGGGGACCUUAGGGCCUCUUGCCAUCGGAUGUGCCCAGAUGGGAUUAGCUAGUAGGUGGGGUAACGGCUCACCUAGGCGACGAUCCCUAGCUGGUCUGAGAAGAUGACCAGCCACACUGGAACUGAGACACGGUCCAGACUCCUACGGGAGGCAGCAGUGGGGAAUAUUGCACAAAGGGCGCAAGCCUGAUGCAGCCAUGCCGCGUGUAUGAAGAAGGCCUUCGGGUUGUAAAGUACUUUCAGCGGGGAGGAAGGGAGUAAAGUUAAUACCUUUGCUCAUUGACGUUACCCGCAGAAGAAGCACCGGCUAACUCCGUG
RNAcentral lists this ribosomal RNA (490 nucleotides) under uncultured bacterium. Its description in RNAcentral is "partial 16S ribosomal RNA". It matches the Rfam family "Bacterial small subunit ribosomal RNA", at positions 30 to 507 of the family's 1533-position model. The record is from RNAcentral.